CCUACGGGAGGCAGCAGUGAGGAAUAUUGGUCAAUGGGCGCGAGCCUGAACCAGCCAAGUAGCGUGAGGGAUGACGGUCCUACGUAUUGUAAACUUCUUUUGUCGUGGAGUACAUUACGGCACGCGUGGCGUUUCGAGCGUACCCUAAGAAUCAGUAUCGGCUAAAUCCGGGCCAGCAGCCGCGGUAAUACGGAGGAUGCGCGCGUUAUACGGAUUUAUUGGGUUUAACAGGUGCGUAGGUGGGAUGUUAAGUUCGUUGUGAAAAGUGGGGGCUUAACCGUCAAAAUGCAUUUGAAACUGGCAGUCUUGAGUGAAGUAGAGGUAGGCGGAAUGCGUGGUGUAGCGGUGAAAUGCGUAGAUAGCACGAAGAACUCCGAGUGCGAAGGCAGCAUAC
Molecule: ribosomal RNA, 394 nt
Filed under: uncultured bacterium
Lineage: Bacteria
Description: partial 16S ribosomal RNA
Rfam family: Bacterial small subunit ribosomal RNA
Source: RNAcentral